UAGUGGAGUGAUCUGUCUGGUUAAUUCCGAUAACGAACGAGAUCCCGGCCAUUUAAAUAGUGUUUAUUACUUUUGUAGUAAUACACUUCUUAGAGGAACUAUGUGGAAAACUACCCCAAGGAAGUGGGGCUAUAACA
Molecule: ribosomal RNA, 137 nt
Filed under: uncultured eukaryote
Lineage: Eukaryota
Description: partial 18S ribosomal RNA
Rfam family: Eukaryotic small subunit ribosomal RNA
Source: RNAcentral